UUCGUGGGGAGCAAGGGGGGAGGAGAUUUCCGCGAAAACUUGACCAAUCUUCGUGCAGUUCGUCCCUACUUCUAGGUAUCGAGGUUCGCAAUUUUCAUGCCCAACUUCUACUCACGAAGGCGAUGGAGAUCCUUCCGCCGAGGCAUAGCUACUCGAGUUGGAGAUCGAGUUGUGAGUGGUGGAGUAGAGGUAUGAGAAGCAGCUUUGCUUCUCUUCUUGUGGAUUAUGUUGGAGUCUCUUUUACUUUAUGAGAACUCUGUUAUUAAAGUCUUGCUUCCGCCACUGUUAAAGUGCGCAUGUUUAUUCUGAACCUUACUUAUGGUAUUGUAAACUAUUAUUACUGUAUAUCGGGAAACAAGUUAUCUAAAUAAAGUUAUGGUAUGUUUCCAACCUUUUAGCCGAAGUGUUUAGUUGUUUUACAGAAAAAAAUUCCCUUGGUUUUUAGGGAUUGCAGAUUGGUCCUUAGACUUUGUUAGGUUACUAAUGUGACUCCUCA
This is a long non-coding RNA of Lotus japonicus, 496 nucleotides long. RefSeq lists it as uncharacterized. The record is from RefSeq and is a predicted model, not a curated record. Lineage: Eukaryota; Viridiplantae; Streptophyta; Magnoliopsida; Fabales; Fabaceae. The transcript is spliced from 3 exons.